GUUAUUUCUAUCAUGAUUCUUUAUUUCUGUGGUUGUUUUAUGCUAAAUAACGCAAAUGUUCGAACCAUAAAUCAGAAUGUAAUGCUUAUAACAGUUGUGGAAAUUCAAAAAUCGCAAAAAAGCACUGUUACUUUUGGGAAUUUAAUCAUUAACGCAUUAAAAGAAUACAACUUCAACUUAAUAUCAAAAUUUUUAAAAUGAUAAAUAUUUAUUGUUGAAGCGGACUCGGCCAAAAAGUUGGUGCUUGGUAGCGAUUAGGUGUGCCUUUUUUAUUGUCCUGCAUUGGGCACCUUGGUGUAUUCUAUAACAUAAAAAAAAAA
Molecule: long non-coding RNA, 320 nt
Organism: Metopolophium dirhodum (rose-grain aphid)
Lineage: Eukaryota; Metazoa; Arthropoda; Insecta; Hemiptera; Aphididae
Exons: 3
Source: RefSeq, a predicted model, not a curated record